This 322-nucleotide ribosomal RNA is filed under the name uncultured Lactobacillus sp. RNAcentral describes it as "bacterial SSU rRNA". It matches the Rfam family "Bacterial small subunit ribosomal RNA", at positions 212 to 524 of the family's 1533-position model. Lineage: Bacteria; Bacillati; Bacillota; Bacilli; Lactobacillales; Lactobacillaceae. The record is from RNAcentral.
UAUCACUCUUGGGAUGGACCUGCGGUGCAUUAGCUAGUUGGUAGGUAACGGCCGUACCAAGGCGAUGAUGCAUAGCCGAGUUGAGAGACUGAUCGGCCACAUUGGGACUGAGACACGGCCCAAACUCCUACGGGAGGCAGCAGUAGGGAAAUCUUCCACAAUGGACGCAAGUCUGAUGGAGCAACGCCGCGUGAGUGAAGAAGGGUUUCGGCUCGUAAAGCUCUGUUGUUGGUGAAGAAGGACAGGGGUAGUAACUGACCUUUGUUUGACGGUAAUCAAUUAGAAAGUCACGGCUAACUACGUGCCCAGCAGCCGCGGUAAU